ACUGCAGUCGACGGGCUGUUUAUGCAGCCAGUGGCGGACGGGUGAGUAACACGUAGGUGACCUACCCCAAAGUCUGGGACAACUAGGAGAAAUCUUAGCUAAUCCUGGAUGUGGACAUCUACUUUGGUGGAUGUUUAAAGCUUCGGCGCUUUGGGAUGGGCCUGCGGCGCAUCAGGUAGUUGGUGGGGUAAUGGCCUACCAAGCCGACGACGCGUAGCUGGUCUGAGAGGACGAUCAGCCACAGGGGUACUGAGACACGGACCCCACUCCUACGGGAGGCAGCAGUUAGGAAUCUUCCGCAAUGGGCGAAAGCCUGACGGAGCGAUACCGCUUGAAGGACGAAGCCCUUCGGGGUGUAAACUUCUGAACUCGGGACGAUAAUGACGGUACCGAGGUAAUAGCACCGGCUAACUCCGUGCCAGCAGCCGCGGUAAUACGGAGGGUGCGAGCGUUACCCGGAUUUACUGGGUGUAAAGGGCGUGUAGGCGGUCUCUCAAGUCCGAUGCUAAAGACCGAAGCUCAACUUCGGGGGUGCGUUGGAUACUGUGAGGCUAGACGGUCGGAGAGGGUAGCGGAAUUUCCGGAGUAGCGGUGAAAUGCGCAGAUACCGGAAGGAACGCCAAUAGCGAAAGCAGCUACCUGGACGAUUUGUGACGCUGAGGCGCGAAAGCGUGGGGAGCAAACCGGAUUAGAUACCCGGGUAGUCCACGCCCUAAACGAUGAGUGCUGGGUGUCCGACAUCUGUUGGGUGCCGUAGCUAACGCGUUAAGCACUCCACCUGGGAAGUACGGUCGCAAGACUGAAACUCAAAGGAAUUGACGGGGGCCCGCACAAGCGGUGGAGCAUGUGGUUUAAUUCGAAGCAACGCGCAGAACCUUACCAGGUCUUGACAUCCACGGAACCCUGGUGAAAGCCG
RNAcentral lists this ribosomal RNA (916 nucleotides) under Meiothermus sp. RNAcentral describes it as "bacterial SSU rRNA". It matches the Rfam family "Bacterial small subunit ribosomal RNA", at positions 53 to 1010 of the family's 1533-position model. The record is from RNAcentral. Lineage: Bacteria; Thermotogati; Deinococcota; Deinococci; Thermales; Thermaceae.